GGUCUUAUAUUCAAUGAUGAUUUUAAAUUGCAAGUUUAAAGGUGAGAUUUUCUUUAAGGCUU
Molecule: transfer RNA, 62 nt
Filed under: Anthrenus verbasci (variegated carpet beetle)
Lineage: Eukaryota; Metazoa; Arthropoda; Insecta; Coleoptera; Dermestidae
Also listed under: 1 other name
Description: tRNA-Cys
Source: RNAcentral